Molecule: long non-coding RNA, 564 nt
Organism: Ornithorhynchus anatinus (platypus)
Lineage: Eukaryota; Metazoa; Chordata; Mammalia; Monotremata; Ornithorhynchidae
Exons: 3
Source: RefSeq, a predicted model, not a curated record
CUAUAUGCCAAAAACUUGUUGAAAGCCAAUUGCUCCCUUACAAGAUGGAGGAGUUAACUAAAUAUCAAUUGUAGGACUUCACACAUUGGUAUUUCCCAGUAGUCCAAUGAAAUGCAACCAGGUGCAGCACCUUUUGACUUCAGUCCAAAGGCCAAGACAAGAAUAAAGAGCAUGAAUAAGAGAAGAAGGUUUUUUCCUUAGAAUCACUGCUGUAUCUUUCUGCAUUUGUAAUGAACCUCAAACUGGAUAUUUCCAACUUAUUUCUGUGUCAAAUGAUUUUUUUCCAGUAUAAAACUUACAGCUCUUAUAGCAUUCCUUGGUACCUCUUCUACAAUGCUAUACUAAAUUUAGUUUCUCAUUGCCCCACUAUAUCUAUCAUAUUAAUAAUCAUCACCAUGUAUUGAGCAUAUACUUGGUGCACUACUUAUUCAUUACUCUUCAGCACUGAAUUAAUUUAAUUCAAUUAUCUAUCGAGGGGAUCCACAGAAUGCCUGGCACAGGAACCUUAAGAAAUAAAACAUGAACAUGACAUGGAUCCUUCCCUUACAGUCAAAUUGAAUUUGU